UCGGCGCUGGACGGGGAGAUCCGCCGGCCUCUGGCCAGCGCUGAUCCGCGGCUCGGCUCCGGCGGCGCCGAGCC
RNAcentral lists this transfer RNA (74 nucleotides) under compost metagenome. RNAcentral describes it as "tRNA-Arg". The record is from RNAcentral.